Molecule: ribosomal RNA, 337 nt
Filed under: uncultured soil bacterium
Lineage: Bacteria
Description: bacterial SSU rRNA
Rfam family: Bacterial small subunit ribosomal RNA
Source: RNAcentral
AGAUUGAACGCUGGCGGCAGGCCUAACACAUGCAAGUCGAGCGGUAGAGAGGUGCUUGCACCUCUUGAGAGCGGCGGACGGGUGAGUAAUGCCUAGGAAUCUGCCUAGUGGUGGGGGAUAACGUUCGGAAACGGACGCUAAUACCGCAUACGUCCUACGGGAGAAAGCGGGGGACCUUCGGGCCUCGCGCCAUUAGAUGAGCCUAGGUCGGAUUAGCUAGUUGGUGAGGUAAUGGCUCACCAAGGCGACGAUCCGUAGCUGGUCUGAGAGGAUGAUCAGUCACACUGGAACUGAGGCACGGUCCAGACUCCUACGGGNGCAGCAGUGGGGAAUAGUU